RNAcentral lists this ribosomal RNA (447 nucleotides) under uncultured bacterium. Its description in RNAcentral is "bacterial SSU rRNA". It matches the Rfam family "Bacterial small subunit ribosomal RNA", at positions 354 to 796 of the family's 1533-position model. The record is from RNAcentral.
GUCGAGAAUCUUCCGCAAUGGGCGAAAGCCUGACGGAGCGACACCGCGUGCAGGAUGAAGGCCUUCGGGUUGUAAACUGCUGUCACGCCAUAGGAAAGCCAUGCCGUUAACAGCGGCAUGGUUGACCAAAGCGAAAGGAAGCACCGGCUAACUCCGUGCCAGCAGCCGCGGUAAGACGGAGGGUGCGAACGUUGUUCGGAAUCACUGGGCAUAAAGCGCACGUAGGCGGUCAGGCAAGUCCGUUGUGAAAGCCCCCGGCUCAACCGGGGAAUGGCGUCGGAUACUACCUGGCUCGAGGACGGUUGGGGUGAGUGGAACUCCUGGUGGAGCGGUGAAAUGCGUAGAUAUCAGGAGGAACACCGGUGGCGAAAGCGGCUCACUGGACCGUUACUGACGCUGAGGUGCGAAAGCUAGGGGAGCGAACGGGAUUAGAAACCCUAGUAGUCC